RNAcentral lists this long non-coding RNA (233 nucleotides) under Mytilus galloprovincialis (Mediterranean mussel). Lineage: Eukaryota; Metazoa; Mollusca; Bivalvia; Mytilida; Mytilidae. The record is from RNAcentral.
AUUAUCCACUUGCAGCGGGGGUAUCAUCAGUGAGCAGUAGCUCGCAGUUUCACUUGUUUUUUUAAGUUUGAGCUCUGUCUCAUUUUGGUACAGAAGUUGCUACUUGCUAACUGUGAUAGACAAAAAUGACAUCUUGGUGGUAACAUUUAUUUAUUAAAAAUUAAUUUCAACAAAAAUAUGUAAUCCCAACGUAUCAUACAGACAGGGCGCGAUCUGAGAUCAACUUUGCAGGG